UUGCCAGCCCGCUAGGGGGAGCCAAUCCCAUAAAGCCGGUCGUAGUCCGGAUCGCAGUCUGCAACUCGACUGCGUGAAGUCGGAAUCGCUAGUAAUCGUGGAUCAGCAUGUCACGGUGAAUACGUUCCCGGGUCUU
RNAcentral lists this ribosomal RNA (136 nucleotides) under uncultured Hydrogenophaga sp. RNAcentral describes it as "partial 16S ribosomal RNA". It matches the Rfam family "Bacterial small subunit ribosomal RNA", at positions 1247 to 1382 of the family's 1533-position model. Lineage: Bacteria; Pseudomonadati; Pseudomonadota; Betaproteobacteria; Burkholderiales; Comamonadaceae. The record is from RNAcentral.